AAGGCAAUGACCGAGGGCCGAGGUCAUGGACCUUGAAGCCUUGUGAAAGAGCCAUAGUCUUUCACUUACCCGGUAGACGUUGUUCAAGCCAGACGGAAAGUUUUAAACCCAAAACGAAGUGAGUGAGCGUAGUUGAAACGCUCAGAGUUUGAAGUCGUGAAGAGUUGUGGAGAGGUGAAAAGUGCGGAAAAAGGACAUCAGGACCCCGCAGUUUUAGUGCGAAGCCUGUAAAGGUUUCUCCUUCGCCCUACCACGUCCUGGUGCUUCAACCGGGUAGAUUCCGGCAGCGUUGUUGGCCGAAGGCCGAUCCGUCCAAAUAUCGGCAGCCUAGGACGUGUAGGCGGGUCCAUUCAGCUGCAGCGAUACCCCAAAGCCACCCCGUGGCGAGAGACGUGGCCAGACGUGGCCUGAAGAGAACGCGGUGUUCCGAACCUCGGAGAGAAGGACAUCGGCGGCCGACAUUGAGGAGAAAGGAGGAAGAAAGGAGGUUGCAGCAGAAGAAAGGGGCCCCGAAGAGAACAGGUUAGAUAGAUUGUAAGAAAGUGGGGAGGAGUAGAAGGUUGUAAGGAGUAGAAUAAAGUGUGCACAAACAGUCCAAAAGUCGAAAUACAGUUAUUUAAAGUCA
Long non-coding RNA from Aedes albopictus (Asian tiger mosquito), 625 nucleotides. RefSeq lists it as uncharacterized. NCBI's taxonomy places the organism in Eukaryota, Metazoa, Arthropoda, Insecta, Diptera, Culicidae. The record is from RefSeq and is a predicted model, not a curated record. The transcript is spliced from 2 exons.